UACGAAGGGUGCGAGCGUUAAUCGGAAUUACUGGGCGUAAAGCGCGCGUAGGUGGUUUGGUAAGCGAUAUGUGAAAUCCCCGGGCUUAACCUGGGAACUGCAUGUCGAACUGCCAGGCUAGAGUAUGGUAGAGGCGUGUAGAAUUCCGGGUGUAGUGGUGAAAUGCGUAGAGAUCCGGAGGAAUACCAGUGGCGAAGGCGGCACGCUGGGCCAUAACUGACGCUAAGACGCGAAAGCAUGGGUAGCGAACGGG
Molecule: ribosomal RNA, 253 nt
Filed under: uncultured prokaryote
Description: partial 16S ribosomal RNA
Rfam family: Bacterial small subunit ribosomal RNA
Source: RNAcentral